Molecule: non-coding RNA, 72 nt
Organism: Phrynosoma platyrhinos (Desert horned lizard)
Lineage: Eukaryota; Metazoa; Chordata; Lepidosauria; Squamata; Phrynosomatidae
Source: the annotation of a GenBank genome assembly
GAUAGUGUGGCCUAGUGGUUCGAGUCUUAGACUACAACUCUGGAGCCCAGGGUUCGAUUCCCAGCUUGGGCC